RNAcentral lists this ribosomal RNA (428 nucleotides) under uncultured bacterium. Its description in RNAcentral is "bacterial SSU rRNA". It matches the Rfam family "Bacterial small subunit ribosomal RNA", at positions 355 to 776 of the family's 1533-position model. The record is from RNAcentral.
UGGGGAAUAUUGCGCAAUGGGCGAAAGCCUGACGCAGCAACGCCGCGUGUGUGAAGAAGGCCCUCGGGUCGUAAAGCACUGUUGAGUAGAACGAGCCGGUGUCAGUUAAUACCUGGCACUCCGACGGUACUACUUUAGAAAGCACCGGCUAACUCCGUGCCAGCAGCCGCGGUAAUACGGAGGGUGCAAGCGUUGUUCGGAAUUAUUGGGCGUAAAGCGCGCGCAGGCGGGCUGUUAAGUCUGAUGUGAAAUCCCUCGGCUCAACCGAGGACGUGCAUUGGAUACUGGCAGUCUUGAAUCCCGGAGAGGGUGGCGGAAUUCCCAGUGUAGAGGUGAAAUUCGUAGAUAUUGGGAGGAACACCAGUGGCGAAGGCGGCCACCUGGACGGUGAUUGACGCUGAGGCGCGAAAGCGUGGGUAGCAAACAGG